This 253-nucleotide ribosomal RNA is filed under the name uncultured bacterium. Its description in RNAcentral is "partial 16S ribosomal RNA". It matches the Rfam family "Bacterial small subunit ribosomal RNA", at positions 524 to 776 of the family's 1533-position model. The record is from RNAcentral.
CACGUAGGGCGCAAGCGUUGUCCGGAAUUAUUGGGCGUAAAGAGCUCGUAGGCGGUCUGUUACGUCUGCUGUGAAAACCCUGGGCUUAACCCUGGGCUUGCAGUGGAUACGGGCAGACUAGAGGCAGGUAGGGGAGAAUGGAAUUCCCGGUGUAGCGGUGAAAUGCGCAGAUAUCGGGAGGAACACCGGUGGCGAAGGCAGUUCUCUGGGCCUGACCUGACGCUGAGGAGCGAAAGCGUGGGGAGCGAACAGG